Small nucleolar RNA from Cololabis saira (Pacific saury), 147 nucleotides. NCBI's taxonomy places the organism in Eukaryota, Metazoa, Chordata, Actinopteri, Beloniformes, Belonidae. The record is from RefSeq and is a predicted model, not a curated record.
CUUCGGUGAUGAUACGAUGACGAGACGGAUCGGGACUCUCAGUUCUGUGGUUUUCUGGUUCAGGUCCACGUUCUGUGGUUCUGCUCUGGAUCUGCAGAUCAGAGAGUUCUCUCCACCUGAAGACACAGAGGCAUUUGUCUGAGAAGG